UUUUGGGGCAGGAUCUGUGAUUGGUUGAUCUAGCAUCUUAACAAUGUCAUAAUGACCCAGUUUCUUUCCAUUUCUCUCCUCUGCGCUGUCCGCUGUAUCCAUUCAUCCUUAGGUGGCUCCUUUCAAGUUUACUGCAUGCAUGUUGGCAGAAAUGGGGACUGCUAGCUUACUCUUUCCUGUUAGAAAAGACAAGUGCCCCAAUUACAGAGCAAAAGCCCUGAGCUUCAAACCACAGCAUGUUGGAUUCAAGAGUCCAAAUGACUGAGACUGAAGUCAAGCACUGGGGCAAGAAGGAUAGAGCAACCUUAAAUGUCAGGCCAACCAGGGCCCACCUCCAGAGGAUCUGAGUUUGCCACACAACCUGGACACAAUUAAUACCCUUUCAUAGAGGAAAAAAGAUGUGUGGUGACGUUUAAAGUGCCCUCAGUAGUAUUUAAGUUGAAUGAUCUUCAAACCAAAUAGCUAUUUUUAUAUAUUAAAGGAUGGGAUUCCUCGACUGACAGUUAUGAUUGUAAACCUCCUGAGGGAAGAACGCUGUCUUUUUGGAUCUCUGCUUACCCUCAGUGUCUGAAGAAACGCUUGACUCAUGGUCCCUCUUGCAGGCUUCUCCUGCAUCCCGGGAGGCUCCUUGCUGUCUUUCCGCGAUACCUAAAAGCCCUGUCCUCUCCUUCCCGGGCCGUCUCCUUGGCGCCCUGCUCACCU
Hipposideros armiger (great roundleaf bat) is the source of this 702-nucleotide long non-coding RNA. RefSeq lists it as uncharacterized. NCBI's taxonomy places the organism in Eukaryota, Metazoa, Chordata, Mammalia, Chiroptera, Hipposideridae. The record is from RefSeq and is a predicted model, not a curated record. The transcript has 4 exons.